GACGAACGCUGGCGGCGUGCCUAAUACAUGCAAGUAGAACGCUGAAGAGAGGAGCUUACUCUUCUUGGAUGAGUUGCGAACGGGUGAGUAACGCGUAGGUAACCUGCCUUGUAGCGGGGGAUAACUAUUGGAAACGAUAGCUAAUACCGCAUAACAACGGAUGACACAUGUCAUUUAUUUGAAAGGGGCAAUUGCUCCACUACAAGACGGACCUGCGUUGUAUUAGCUAGUAGGUGAGGUAAUGGCUCACCUAGGCGACGAUACAUAGCCGACCUGAGAGGGUGGUCGGCCACACUGGGACGGAGACACGGCCCAGACUCCUACGGGAGGCAGCAGUAGGGAAUCUGGGGCAAGGGGGGCAACCCUGACCGAGCAGCGCCGCGUGAGGGAAGAAGGUUUUCGGAUCGUAAAGCUCGGUUGUAAGUCAAGAACGGGUGUGAGAGUGGAAAGUUCACACUGUGACGGUAGCUUACCAGAAAGGGACGGCUAACUACGUG
This 497-nucleotide ribosomal RNA is filed under the name uncultured bacterium. Its description in RNAcentral is "partial 16S ribosomal RNA". It matches the Rfam family "Bacterial small subunit ribosomal RNA", at positions 28 to 507 of the family's 1533-position model. The record is from RNAcentral.